AUGGCACACUCCUGGCUACAUACACAGACCCAGCACUAGUGAGCCCACGUGGUCUACAUGUGACCCCUGCAGGCCAGGUGCUGGUCUGUGGAUUCCUGUCCAACACUGUACUACAGGUGGGCUGGGAGGGAGAGAGUAAGCUGGCUACGCUGGCUACUGAGGAGGAUGGAGUGAGGUGCCCAGUGUCAGUCUGCUACAGCAGCACCACAUCAUCCAUCAUUGUGGGACAGGCUGGGGACAACAUCCUGGUGUUCAGAGUGGAAUAGUGUGUACAUUUGCUGCUGGGUCGGGACAACGAUGCUGAGGAUGUGGGGGACAAGCAUGACGCAGAAGGAGAGCACCAGCAUUGGUAUCGAGUUGGCCAAGCAACAGCACAAGUCCGGCCUGCAGGAGCCCCAAUACAGAACCAUCCUUUCCCUCCCCUGAUCCCUAGCUCCUCCCACUGGACCUCUGGCCACAAAGGGUCAGCAUCGUUACACAAGUCUGUUCUGCAAUAAAUCCUCAGCACGUCAAGUUUUCACGCGCUGUUAUGAACAACCAAAAUGUCCGCGUCGAGAUUUCCCCAAGCAAGCCCGAGUAGUUUUGUUUAGCUCUAGUGCCCGAGUGGGAUGAGUGUUACAGAAGCGAGACGUUAUAGCAGUACAUAUGGUAACGCAAACAGUUAACGCUAACAGUUAGUUCUCGCUGUGGACAUCAUGAAGAAUCUCACAAAGAAUUAAACGUUGAAUAAUUUGUUUCAUUCUUUAUAAGACACAGGGUUUGCACAGGGCUUGAAAAGUGCUUGAAAACCAGUCCUAGGCUUGAAAAGCCCUUGAACAAAGGUUGGCCUUAAAACAGUGCUUGAAAAGUGCUUAGUUCAUGUAAAAAAGCCUUGAAAAAUUAUUUCUGCUCAAAAUUACUGUUAUCAUGGCUUUAAUUAUAAAUUUAAAUCGUUCUUAUGGGAAAUAUUACCAAAAUGUAUAAUAAAUUCCUUCGCGCAAAAAGUUGAGUACGAAAUAUAAGUUUCGUACAAUAUUGAGUACGAAAUGUUAUGUGUACACGUCACAGAUUAUAAUGCUACGUCAGAGGUUCUCCAUUGUGAUCAAUUUUCGCGAGUGAAAACGCAGCAAUGGGGAAGUGUCGUUUCAAACCAGGGUGGUUAACUGAAUAUUCCUGGGUACAGAAAACAAAUGACAUUCGAAAAGCACAUUGUUGGGUCUGUAUGAAGACCAUUGAUGUCGGGGGUAUGGAGGAAAGCGCUUUGAAAAGCCACAAGAAAGUGAAAACCCUCAAAGAAAACAUGAAAUUGAGAAGCAAACAGGGUUCCUGGGAUGUGUUUUUUGUUAAACAGGAAGGUACUAUUGUUAAAACUGUUAAAUCUAAAACAGACUUAAAAAACAACAGCCCAUCUGUGUCGAACCAGGAAGGCACAGCCACAUGCAGAGAGUGUGCAGAUAGAAGAUUCAAAUUCCAGGACCUUCGCAACUUUCAGCUGUAGUAUCAAACUCGCAGACAUCCAUAGACAAAUUCGUUUAAAAAAAUGAUAUGUUGAACGCGAAAGUAUUUUGGGUAUUUAUACCGUUUGCACACAACCAUCCUUUAACUCCAAUAAAAACAUUACAAAGUUUUUUCAGGUUGUGUUCCAUGACAGUACCAUAGCAAAGCAUAAUUAUGUGGUUGUUUUGGGGCUAGCUGAACAUUUCAAAACUGUACUUGAUAGUUCUAUAACUUAAUUAGUGGACAGUACUCAGUGUCUCAGUACUCAGUGUCUCAGUACUCAGUGUCUUUUGAUGAAAGUUUAAACAAGAAAGACCAAUCCAAGCAAAUGGAAAAGGCAUUUUAUUUAAAGGAAACUAACGUACAGUUUACGGACUUGAAAAUGAAUAUUUGGUCUUGGAAAGUCCUUGAAAAGUGCUUGAAUUUAGGUUUGAGAUUUCUGUUUGAACCAUGAGACAUCUAUAUAUUCAGCAAGGAACGAGAGCAAAUCAAGGAACAAUCGAAACGAUUCAUUCAGAAGUGUUUCUGCUGUAAAUAGUUAGGACAGUAGUAGCGUUACGGACUGUCCUCAGCGCACAAUUUAUUUAUGUGGUGCGCCUCAGACGCGAAUUCCGCCCAUUAUUGAAAACAAGUUGCUAAAAGUAAACACAUCCGGUUUUGUUACGAGCACUUUGCACUCCGAGCCAAAAGGGCAUUGCAUUGAAUUGAGACUAAAGAAGGCUUGAAAACAUGACCUCAGUUUUGUUGUAUGGUCCAGUAGCUCUUCGACUCUCAACCUGAAGUUAAUCAGAACUCAAACUCGGCCCUUAACAAUAUCCACGUGGCCAGCAUAUCAGCUCAGCUUCUGAGCUUCAGCAAACACUAUAAGCCGCCAAGAUAAAAACAUCGUUGAAGUGAAAGUCGAUGACAAUCCUGACCCCUUCGCUUAAGUAAUUCAGCACAAAAACGUCUUGUGUCAGAGUAGCAAGCCUCCAAACAUCUUCUCCCAUGUUGGCUUCAUCAACACUUCUUACAGCGGAGCCUUGACGAGUUCGACUUCCAUCCCAGCAUCGAUGUUGCUUAGCAACAAUUCAAUGCUGGGAAUCGACAAAUUGUUCUAGACGAGUCGCUUACACAGAAACAAUCUGAUCCAACAGAUAGAGCAGGUGUUGCGUGACUUGUCCCUUAUUGCGACUGACCUCGAUAAGUUGCUCUCGAAUAAUGUUAACCUUAUGCCAGUAUGGGAUUGACGCCAUUUAACAACAGUUGUUGUUGAGAAUACCCAGGUUUGAGGUGGCAACUUUGGCGUCGGGACUCGCUCCAUCUCUGUCUAUGGCCUGGUCAAAGCAGCAGCAGCAGCAAUAAGAACAACAAGUAGUAUCUGAGCGGUGCUCUGGUGUACGGGGCUUCAUAGCCUGUUCCUCCUGGUCCAGGACCUUUGGACAAAUGUUCAAAUAGUACUACCCACAGGAUGAAGCCACUCUGAAUCCGGGGCUCCAUACUUUCUUGGCCAGGGGCCAAGACUACCUCGUCAAUAAGCAGAGCACCAGCAUUGAUAUCGAGUUGGCCCAGCAACCGCACGAGUCCCGCCUGCAGGAGCCCCAGUCCAGAACGACCCUUCCCCUACCCUGACUUCUAACUCCUCCCCCUUGACCUCCUGACUCAAAAAGUCAGCAUCGUUGAAUAACUCCGUUCUGCAGAAAAUUCUGAGCAUGAUUCUGGUCUGAACAAACACAAUGCCCACGUCAAGUUGUCCACACAUUAGCCUGGGUAGUUCUGUUAAGCUAGAGUUCCGCGUGGGCCUGAGAGGGACGAGUUUUACAAGCACGAAAAGUUAUAGCUGUAGUUAUGGUAACGCUAACAGUCAGUUGUUGCUGUUGGACAUCACAACAAAUAUCCUGAAGAAUAAAAAGUUCAAUAACUUGUUCCAAUCUUUAUGGGACAAACAGAAAUUGGACGGGAGAAAAUCAAGGAACAAUAAAAGCGUAAGCUUUCCUAGUGGGAUGCUUCUGCUGUUGAUAGUUUGGACGACAAUAGGGUUACGGACUGCCCCAGAUUGUCCUCUCAGCGGCCAAAAUAUCAUAAUAGAACGGACUUUUGGCAAUGUUACCGACAAAGAAAGGCAGUAAUGACUUGGUUGUGAAUACCCAGAGCACGAUACAUCCAUGCUGACACAAAAAGGCAGUAAUGACUUGGUGGUGAAAACCCAGAGCACGCUACAUCCUUGCUGACAAAGAAAUGCAGUAAUGACUUGGUUGUGAAUACCCAGAGCAUGCUACAUCCAUGCUGACACAGAAAGGCAGUAAUGACUAUGCUGUGAACACCCAGAGCAAGAUAUAUCCAUGCUGACACAGAAAGGAAGUAAUGACUAUGCUGUGAACACCCAGAGCAAGAUAUAUCCAUGCUGACACAAAAAGGCAGUAAUGACUAUGCUGUGAACACCCAGAGCAAGCUACAUCCAUGCUGACACAGAAAGGAAGUAAUGACUAUGAUGUAAACACCCAGAGCACAAUACAUCCAUGCUGACACAGAAAGGCAGUAAUGACUAUGCUGUGAACACCCAGAGCACGCUACAUCCAUGCUGACACAGAAAGGAAGUAAUGACUAUGCUGUGAACACCCAGAGCAAGAUAUAUCCAUGCUGACACAGAAAGGCAGUAAUGAUUAUGCUGUGAACUCCCAGAGCAAGAUAAAUCCAUGCUGACACAGAAAGGCAGUAAUGACUACGCUGUGAACACCCAGAGCACAAUACAUCCAUGCUGACACAGAAAGGCAGUAAUGACUUGGUUUUAAACACCCAGAGCACAAUACAUCAAUGUUGACUCAGAAAGGCAGUAAUGACUUGGUUGUGAACACAGAACACGAUACACCCAUGCUGACACAGAAAGGCAGUAAUUACUUGGCUGUGAACACAGAGCACAAUACAUCCAUGCGGAAACAGAAAGGCAGUCAUGACUAUGCUGUGAACACCCAGAGCACGAUAAAUCCAUGCUGACACAGAAAGACAGUAAAGACUUGGUUGUAAACACCCAGAGCACAAUACAUCCAUGAUGACACAGAAAGGCAGUAAAGACCUUGUUGUAAACACUAAGAGAUCCAUACAUCCAUGGGGUGUGCCACAGCCCGAAUUACGCCCACUAUUGUGAACAAGGUGCUUAAAGUGAACAUGUCUGGUUUUGGUAUGAGGACUUAGCACUCCAAGCCUAAAAGGCCUCGCAUUGAAUUGAUGCAAGAGAAGGCUUUGAAAAAUAACAGCAGUUUUGUUGUGUGGUCCAGUACGCCCUUCGACUCUCAACCUGAAGAAAGCAGAACUCAAACUCGGCUCUUAUCAAUAUCAGCAAGGCCAGCAUGUCAUAUCAGCUUCUUGAGCUUCAGAAAUUCAGCACGAAGACAUCUUGCGUCAGACUACCAAGCCUCCUAUCAAUAUCUCCUCCCAUGUUGGCUUCAUCAACACUUCCAACAGAGCCUUGGUGAGUUCGACUUCCGUCUCAGCAUCGAUGUCGCUUAGCAACAAUUGGAUGAUGGGCGUCGACAAAUUAGGCCGGACAAGUCGCUCAAACUGAAACGAUCUGAUCCAACAGGUAGAGCAGGCGUUGCGUGACACGUCCGUUAAUGUGACUGACCUCGAUAUGUUGUUCUCGAAUAAUGUGAACCUUAGGCCUGGAGAGCAGUAUGCGAUUGACGCCAUUCAACAACAGUUGUUCUUGGCAAUUUUCAGGUUUGGGGUGGCGACUUCAGCGUCAGGACUUGCUCCAUCUCUGUCUAUGGCCCAGUCGCAGCAGCAGCAGCAACAAGAACAAUAAGUAGUAUCUUAGCGGUGUUCUGGGAUAUGCGGCUUCAUGUAUGUGCUUAAAUUGUCAUCCCAGAUUAGCCUGUGCAGACUGCACCUACAUUAAGUCCUAUUAAAUUGUCAUCCCAGAUUAGCCUGUGCAGACUGCACAUAUAUUAAGUUCUAUUAAAUUAUCAUCCCAGAUUAGCCUGUGCAGACUGCACCUACAUUAAGUCCUAUUAAAUUGUCAUCCCAGAUUAGCCUGUGCAGACUGCACAUACAUUAAGUUCUAUUAAAUUGUCAUCCCAGAUUAGCCUGUGCAGACUGCACAUACAUUUAGUCCUAUUAAAUUGUUAUCCCAGAUUAGCCUGUGUAGACUGCACAUACAUUAAGUCCUAUUAAAGUGUCAUCCCAGAUUAGCCUGUGCAGACUGCACGUACAUAAAGUCCUAUUAAAGUGUCAUCUCAGAUUAGCCUGUGCAGACUGCACAUACAUUAAGCCCUAUUUUCCCAGAAUGAGGCUCGUAUACUUCACUUAACAUCAGUAUUUUAUGUGCCUGAAAAGUUCCUAGCAUCAAGUGGGAAUUAUGUGCUUUUAGAUUGAUCACACGUAAAAUGCAAAUAGCACUUGAUCUGAUAUCAAUUUUAAUCAUAGAAGGUCAGGAGUGGCAUUCCAGAAGCAUAUUAAGUUAAAUUUUAUUUUUACCCUUAAAUUGGGAAUUUUUCUUCAGUGUUUUAUUUCAUACUGCAAUAGUUAGGCAUCGAAAAUUACAUCAAAAUAACAUCAUUAUGUCAAUGUUAUUUGAGAGUUACCAAAAAAAUUUGCAUGUCUUUAUUGAGUAAAGAAAUGCAAAACAUUGUAUUUUUUAACUUAAGUGAAAAUAUUUAAGAAAUGACUUAAGAUGUUUCUGGAAUACCACCCAUGGGCAUUAAGUUUUGUAUAUUUUCGACCGAAAUCCAGCCCCUGAACCAAAAGUUUAUCCUUGCAGAAAAAUCUGCUUUAAUAAAAUUGUAAAAAUUAUAUUUAAUUUUAGAAAAAUAAUUAUGUAAAAGCCUUCAGCUCAUUUCAAUUUUUUUUUCUUCAUUUAUUUUCAAUAAUUAUUUAAAUUUCUGGAUUUUGUUUUAAAAGCCUGUUCCUACAGGAACCCAUGCAAUCAUAGAUCGGUACCUAGCUGAACAACAGGCUGUCUGGUCAGCUGGGCCCAGGGCCCAGUGACACUUCCUGGCCCAGGACCUUGGGGCCAAUGCUCAACUAGUCCUACCCGCAAGGUGGAGCCACACUGAACCUGGGGCUCCAUACUUUCUUGGCCAGUGGCCAAGAUAGCCUCGUCAAUUAGGGACACAUUCCUGGGAUGCCCUAAGGUCUUUCUAUCUGUUCACAGAAGUCUUAUACUCACAAGUUCAAGCCCAGAAGCGAUGUCCACAUUAUCAAACUCUGCAUCUCAAUAGAAACCCGGAUAGCAAGGCGUUGAGUUUGUUCUUGAAGCAUUUGCACCUUAAGCAGUCAUCAUCUUGAUAUUCUGGAAUCUCCAUGGUGAAGGACCCUCAGUCUGUGAACAAAAUGCAGAGCGAACCUCAGAUGCCUUUUGACGAAAUCAAAUCAUCCAGUCAGAAACACAGACUGUUGCAGCAGUUGUGACCAUAUUGACCCCAGUCAAACCUAAGAAGCUCAGAGAUAAAUACUGAUUUAGUUCUGCUAGUCUCUACAUACCGCCUGGUUUGGUCAGCACUUACUCUGACUCUUUGAAUAUUAUGACGGAUGGAAAUGAAUGACCUUGUUCAAAUCGAAAUGGCAGAAUGACACAUCACAAGAAUUCAAGCGGAAAGCCAGAAAGUCAUGUCAAUAGCCACAUUUUUUAUGGCACCAGCCAAGUUGUAUUCAAAGACAAACAAUAGUUUAUGCUCUAUUGUGUAUGUGACCAGCCAAGUUGUAUUCAAAGAAAAACAAUAGUUGACGUUUUAUUUUCUAUGUGACCAACCAAUUUGUUUGUAUAGGUCCCUGGUUUAACAAAGCAUUUAAAGUAAUUUUAAAAGCACACAUAUUGCAUGUCUAUGCAAUGUCUUUGCCUGUAUUAUGAAACUUUCACUACAGAUAUUGAUCCUGAUGAUGGUAAAUAAAUGGGAAAUACAAUGUUAUCAAAGAUUUUUUAAGAUUGCCAAAGCUGUUUAAAUGAUGCUGGUAACUGGAAAAAAAAUAUUGGAAUAUUUUCAUGUUAUAAGACGAGUUUCAGUUGUCUGUUUUUAACCCGUUAAUAUAGAUAAGCUAAUUUAAAAUAUUUGUUCAGAAAGGUGUAAAAUGUUUACGCUUCAGAUUUUUGUCUAUCAACUUUCUGAAAACAAUACUAGUCAAUUGGCUCAUUUGGGUCGGUAUUCGAUCAUGAAUCUUUUUUAGUAACAUACUAUGUAUUUCAUGGGAAUAUAAAUAAAUUAUGUGCAAAAUUAUUUAAUCUACCUAAAAUAAUCGAUUCUGUAUUUACUACUAGUACUUUGUUGAUUUCAGUGGAUAUUGUUUGUUAAAUGAUUAGAGUAUGACUCUUGUUGAAAAGCUUUAAAUGAAACUGAAUUAAAAAAUAAAUAUUUAAUUUGUUUUAGAGUUUUAUGAAAAAUGGCUAAAGAUUGUUAAGUUGUGUUCUUUUAUCAUAUACUAACAUGGUCAUACGUGUUAAAAUUUGUUUUCAGACAUAAUAGUUUAUUAUGCUUUAUAUUUGUAUAUGUACAUAACGACGACCAGAUUGUAUCCUCUUUAAUCAGUGAGUAAUUUAAUCAAGAUUUCUUGAUCACUGUAUCAAGUGUAUAUGUAUAUUUUGCAAUAUAUACAUAUAGCAACUGUAAAACAAUUGUAUUUUAAAUGUAAUGUAUUCAUGUAUUGUUGCCAUUUUUAUAAGAUAAACUCACUGUAAACAUUAAUUUGUACAAACCAUUGUUAUAAAAAACAUUUCUUGUGCCAAUGCUAAAAUAUGUAUUAAACUGUUAAAAUAAUGUACAGUAACAACUUCUGAAGAGAAAAAUAUUCUUAAGGCAAUAGAAACACAUUGUUAUAUGAAGUGCUUUUUAUUAAGAUCACCUACUUAAAAUUUGUUUAAUUUUGUUUUAGAUUAUCUAAAGAAAAAAUAGUACCAUGUAAUUUGAAAUCAGUCAAUGAGAAAUUAAGGGAGUGUUGCCAUAUGCUAACAAUAGUCAAGAAAUGAAAUUUUCUCUAUUAGUAAUACAACAGAGCAAUACAAUUUGCUUAAACAAGAGCACCGCAUAAAGGGUGCCACGCUCGGCUACGGGUGCAGUUUUGAAUAAAUGAAAGCUUGUCUGAAUUUAUUUUAGAGGUCACUGUGACUAGACCAUUGACCUAGUGACCCCAAAUCGGGUGUGGUGUGUAGAACUCAUCAAGGUGCAUCUACAUAUGAAGUUUGAAAGUAGUAGUUGGAAGCACUUUGAUUUUAGAGCCAAUGUUAAGAUUUUAGCACGACGCGGACGGCGGACGACACGACGAUCUGUAUGACAAUACCUCGAAUUUUCUCCGAAAAUACCGAGCUAAAAAUAAAAACUAAGAUGUUUGCUUUGCAAUUUUUUUUAAAUAUACACUUAUGAAUGUGCUUAUAUUAAACGUCAACAGUAUUGGCAUAUUGCUUACGAUAAAGUUUGACAUUUUAUUAGUUUUGUAACAGUGUGUUUCACCUUUCACAUUGACAAUCCCACAUUUGCUUUCAGUGGGGCCAGUUUCUGUAACUCUUCCACUACAAGUUCAGCAAAUGUGUUAUGACCAGAUUUUCUCAUAUUUGGGAAUGUUUAUAUUUAACUUUUAUUGAAUGCAUGGAACAUGUUUGUUCUGUUUUUUAAUAGCUGAAAAUAGCUUGAUGUUUGUAAAUUGUGUGCCAUGUUGAUCAAUUGAUACAUAAAAAAAAAACACAUUUUGCGUUAAUUUGUAUGUGUAGCUAAACAACACAUGUUACCAAAUACAAAUUUAAUUAUUUGGUAACAAUAUAAUUAUUGUGCUAUAUUCGUAAUACCGUAUGAAAUGCAAUAUUAAUUAAAAUGUGUUUAUAUGUUUGUCUACGUCAAAUAAUCAUUUGAAUAAGUAAAUAUAGGGUAAUGAUGUCUAUGGAAAGUACCCGUAGGCACGUUUCAAUUGCUUGUGUACCUCAUAUGGAUCAGGGUCUGUCUAAAUUAUUGCAUGAUUGUUUAUGCCAAUGUCUGAAUUGUGUAAAUAUCUUUAAAAUCGUGAGAUAUUUGUUAAGAGGAUUUUAAUAUUAAAAGAUAUAAUAGCAUCUAAACUUUAACCGGUCAUCUUUUGCAUUUAUUUUUAUGUGUUUAUAUUGUUUUGCUUACCAAGUUUAAUAUUGUCUAUAUUCGUGCGUAAUUUUAUUGUGGUUGUUUUGUUAAGACAGAGCGCAUAUCCCUAAUGCUGUUGUUUUAUGUUAUAUGUAAAUAAUUAAACAUGUUUAUUUUGG
This is a long non-coding RNA of Dreissena polymorpha, 9664 nucleotides long. RefSeq lists it as uncharacterized. The record is from RefSeq and is a predicted model, not a curated record. The transcript is spliced from 11 exons. Lineage: Eukaryota; Metazoa; Mollusca; Bivalvia; Myida; Dreissenidae.